Dromiciops gliroides (monito del monte) is the source of this 104-nucleotide small nuclear RNA. NCBI's taxonomy places the organism in Eukaryota, Metazoa, Chordata, Mammalia, Microbiotheria, Microbiotheriidae. The record is from RefSeq and is a predicted model, not a curated record.
GCUUGCUUGUCAGAACAUAUACUAAAAUUAUAAUGAUACAGAGAAGAUUGGCACCAUCCCUGUGAAAGGAGGACACAAAUAUUUGUGGAAUGUUCUAAAUUUUU